Molecule: non-coding RNA, 625 nt
Organism: Triplophysa rosa
Lineage: Eukaryota; Metazoa; Chordata; Actinopteri; Cypriniformes; Nemacheilidae
Source: the annotation of a RefSeq genome assembly
UUAACACUUCACAACUGAACACAAACACACAAAACAUCAACAAUGACCUUCAUCAUCAGCUUCAUCUGGACACUUUUAUUCUCUAUACAAGGGUGUAAAUCACAGAUCACAGUAACUCAAAGUCCUUCAGUGAAAACUGCUGCACCAGGUGAAUCUGUUACUCUGAACUGUAGAUUCAGUUCACCUCCAGCCUGUAGCCCACCCUGUGUGUCCUGGUACUUACAGAAACCUGGAGAAGCUCCUAAACUCCUGAUAUAUCUGACCAACACCCUUCAGUCUGGAACUCCAUCUAGAUUCAGUGGCAGUGGAUCAAACACAGAUUUCACUCUGAGCAUCAGUGGAGUCAAGACUGAAGAUGCAGGACAUUAUUACUGUCAGAGUGUACACUAUAUCAACAGUAAAUAUGUGUUCACACAGUGAUAAAGAGUCGUACAAAAACCUCCAUCAGUCAGACUGACACUGAUACACUUGACUGAUUCUGCUGCUGCACACACACUAUUACAAGCUAAACAUUAAAGCAGCACAGAAAUUCUAACAUUGUUUAACAUGCUUUACACAAUACAUAUUGUUUAAACAGUAUUUCAGAGAAUUAUUGCCUCAGUGUCUUAAAGUCCCAGUGAGCAGC